AAUCAACGCUGGCGGCGUGCCUAACACAUGCAAGUCGAACGCGAAAGCCCCUUCGGGGGCAAGUAGAGUGGCGUCCGGGUGAGUAACACGUGGGUAAUCUACCUCCGGGUGGGGAAUAACUCGCCGAAAGGCGGGCUAAUACCGCAUAAUGCAGCGGCACCGAAUGGUGAUUAGUUGUUAAAGCGGGGGGCCUUAGGGCCUCGCGUCUGGAGAGGAGCCUGCGGCAGAUUAGCUUGUUGGUAGGGAAUGGCCUACCAAGGCUGCGAUCUGUAGCUGGUCUGAGAGGACGGCCAGCCACACUGGCACUGACACACGGGCCAGACUCCUACGGGAGGCAGCAGUGGGGAAUUUUGGGCAAUGGGCGAAAGCCUGACCCAGCAACGCCGCGUGAAGGAGGAAAUCCUUCGGGAUGUAAACUUCACAAGCAAGGGAAGAGCGCGCAGGGUCGAAUAAACUCUGCGUCCGACGGUACCUUGCGUAAGCCACGGCUAACUACGU
RNAcentral lists this ribosomal RNA (498 nucleotides) under uncultured bacterium. Its description in RNAcentral is "bacterial SSU rRNA". It matches the Rfam family "Bacterial small subunit ribosomal RNA", at positions 32 to 506 of the family's 1533-position model. The record is from RNAcentral.